This 450-nucleotide ribosomal RNA is filed under the name uncultured marine eukaryote. RNAcentral's name for it is "SSU rRNA". It matches the Rfam family "Eukaryotic small subunit ribosomal RNA", at positions 613 to 1080 of the family's 1831-position model. The record is from RNAcentral.
UUGCAGUUAAAAAGCUCGUAGUCGGAUUUCAGCUUUGCUCAUCUUUUCCACUUUGGAUCUGCUGGGGAGGGCUUCUUUGACGGAAGUAUUCCUGACACUCAUUUGUUGGGUUUUUCAACCGUCUCUUUUACUUUGAGAAAAUUAGAGUGUUCAAAGCAGGCAUUGCCUGAAUAUUACUCUUGGAAUAAUAAUAGAUGACUCUGGUGCUAGUUUGUUGGUGCACUGGUGCCGGAGUAAUGAUUAAUAGCGACGGUUGGGGUCAUUCGUACUGCAAAGCGAGAGGUGAAAUUCUUGGACCUUUGUAUGACGAACAACUGCGAAAGCAUUUGACUAGGACGUUCGCGUUGAUCAAGAACGAAAGUUGGGGGAUCGAAGACGAUCAGAUACCGUCGUAGUCUCAACCCUACACUAUGCCAGCUAGGGAUGAGCGAUUGUCUUCACUGACAUCGU